UAACGUUACCAAACUGUUGCCUCGGCGGGAACUCAUGCCCCGGGUGCGUCGCAGCCCCGGACCAAGGCGCCCGCUGGAGGACCAACCAAAACUCUUUUUGUAUACCCCCUCGCGGGUUUUUUAUAAUCUGAGCCUUCUCGGCGCCUCUCGUAGGCGUUUCGAAAAUGAAUCAAAACUUUCAACAACGGAUCUCUUGGUUCUGGCAUCGAUGAAGAACGCAGCGAAAUGCGAUAAGUAAUGUGAAUUGCAGAAUUCAGUGAAUCAUCGAAUCUUUGAACGCACAUUGCGCCCGCCAGUAUUCUGGCGGGCAUGCCUGUCCGAGCGUCAUUUCAACCCUCGAACCCCUCCGGGGGGUCGGCGUUGGGGAUCGGCCUUCCUUCACGGGGGCCGUCUCCGAAAUACAGUGGCGGUCUCGCCGCAGCCUCUCCUGCGCAGUAGUUUGCACACUCGCAUCGGGAGCGCGGCGCGUCCACAGCCGUUAAACACCCAACUUCUGAAAUGUUGACCUCGGAUCAGGUAGGAAUACCCGCUGAACUU
RNAcentral lists this ribosomal RNA (537 nucleotides) under uncultured Hypocreaceae. RNAcentral's name for it is "eukaryotic LSU rRNA". The stretch from base 174 to 327 matches the Rfam family "5.8S ribosomal RNA". Lineage: Eukaryota; Fungi; Ascomycota; Sordariomycetes; Hypocreales. The record is from RNAcentral.